UGGGGAAUAUUGCACAAUGGGCGAAAGCCUGAUGCAGCGACGCCGCGUGCGGGAUGAAGGCCUUCGGGUUGUAAACCGCUUUUGAUUGGGAGCAAGCGAGAGUGAGUGUACCUUUCGAAUAAGCACCGGCUAACUACGUGCCAGCAGCCGCGGUAAUACGUAGGGUGCAAGCGUUAUCCGGAAUUAUUGGGCGUAAAGAGCUCGUAGGCGGUUUGUCGCGUCUGGUGUGAAAGUCCAUCGCUUAACGGUGGAUCUGCGCCGGGUACGGGCAGGCUAGAGUGCGACAGGGGAGACUGGAAUUCCCGGUGUAACGGUGGAAUGUGUAGAUAUCGGGAAGAACACCAAUGGCGAAGGCAGGUCUCUGGGUCGUCACUGACGCUGAGGAGCGAAAGCGUGGGGAGCGAACAGGAUUAGAUACCCUGGUAGUCCACGCCGUAAACGGUGGAUGCUGGAUGUGGGG
This 460-nucleotide ribosomal RNA is filed under the name uncultured bacterium. Its description in RNAcentral is "partial 16S ribosomal RNA". It matches the Rfam family "Bacterial small subunit ribosomal RNA", at positions 355 to 827 of the family's 1533-position model. The record is from RNAcentral.